RNAcentral lists this long non-coding RNA (469 nucleotides) under Rattus norvegicus (Norway rat). RNAcentral's name for it is "long non-coding RNA NONRATT017962". Lineage: Eukaryota; Metazoa; Chordata; Mammalia; Rodentia; Muridae. The record is from RNAcentral.
CAGGCCUUCCAGAAGGGCAACUGAGGGGCUCCCUGAUCCCUUUCUCUCCUCUGUCUUACCUCUUUCAGACCUGGUUGAGAAGCUACAUUAAGCUGUUCCAGGCCCCGUGCCAGCGCUGUGGGAAGUUUCUACAAGAUGGCCUGCCCCCAACAUGGAGAGACUUCCGAACUCUGGAAGCUUUCCAUGACACCUGCCGGCAGUGACCCCAGCCCCGCCACUGGGCAGCGCCAGCACCUUUCCAGACCAGCCUGACCCAUUCACCACGUAGGUGUUUGUCGCUGAUCUCCCUGGCAGAACUGUCACCCCCAUUGGUGCAGCAUGGGAGGGUGGUCUGCCCCUUCCCUGUGUGCUGGCCCCUGGGUCUUGCUUCCAUGAGCUGUUACUGGAAUGAGCCCUUUCUUCUUAUGUUGGCUAUGCUUGGUUGGUUUUUGUAACUUAUUUUUGUAAACAAUAAAGCUUUUGUACGCUG